CACGUAGUUAGCCGGGGCUUCUUAGUCAGGUACCGUCUGUUUCUUCCCUGCCGAUAGGGCUUUACGCACCGAGGUGCUCCUUCACCCACGCGGCGUCGCUGCAUCAGGGUUCCCCCCAUUGUGCAAUAUUCCCCACUGCUGCCUCCCGCAGGAGCCUGGGCCGUGUCUCAGUCCCAGUGUGGCCGUCCGCCCUCUCAGGCCGGCUACCGAUCGUCGCCUUGGUGGGCCGCUGCCCCGCAACAAGCUAAUCGGACGCGGGCCCAUCGCGCACCGUCCGGGUCGCCCCGGGCUUUCCCCCGCAGGGCCAUGCGGCCCCACGGGACUUAUGCGGUAUUAGCGGCCGUUUCCGGCCGUUGUCCCCCUGUGCGCGGCAGGUUGCCCACGCGUUACUCACCCGUCCGCCACUGGCCGCGCCUUCACUAGGUUUCAGGCGCGGCCCGUUCGACUUGCAUGUGUUAGGCACGCCGCCAGCGUUCACUCCUGAGCCAGGAUCGAAACUCU
This 501-nucleotide ribosomal RNA is filed under the name uncultured Eubacteriales bacterium. Its description in RNAcentral is "uncultured Clostridiales bacterium partial 16S ribosomal RNA". Lineage: Bacteria; Bacillati; Bacillota; Clostridia; Eubacteriales. The record is from RNAcentral.